UACGGAGGAUGCAAGCGUUAUCCGGAAUGAUUGGGCGUAAAGCGUCCGCAGGUGGCAAUGUAAGUCUGCUGUCAAAGCGUCUGGCUCAACCAGAUAAAGGCAGUGGAAACUACAUAGCUAGAGUAAGGUAGGGGUAGAGGGAAUUCCUGGUGUAGCGGUGAAAUGCGUAGAGAUCAGGAAGAACACCGGUGGCGAAGGCGCUCUGCUGGACCUUAACUGACACUGAGGGACGAAAGCUAGGGGAGCGAAUGGG
Molecule: ribosomal RNA, 253 nt
Filed under: uncultured bacterium
Lineage: Bacteria
Description: partial 16S ribosomal RNA
Rfam family: Bacterial small subunit ribosomal RNA
Source: RNAcentral